AAGAGCCGGAUGAGCUGAGAGGUUCAAGUCCGGUUCCGUGAGAGGCUUAGGGGGAAGUUCCCUUUGCCUACUCGA
RNAcentral lists this non-coding RNA (75 nucleotides) under Natronoflexus pectinivorans. The record is from RNAcentral. Lineage: Bacteria; Pseudomonadati; Bacteroidota; Bacteroidia; Marinilabiliales; Marinilabiliaceae.